Molecule: ribosomal RNA, 757 nt
Filed under: Holocneminus multiguttatus
Lineage: Eukaryota; Metazoa; Arthropoda; Arachnida; Araneae; Pholcidae
Description: partial 28S ribosomal RNA
Rfam family: Eukaryotic large subunit ribosomal RNA (bases 521-757)
Source: RNAcentral
UGCUCAGAGGCAAACGGGUGGGCCCUCGAAAUCCUCUCCGCGGAGGGAUUCAGUCGGCGAGACGGAGGAGCGGCUGGCGCUUCAAAGUAUCUCACCAAGCGGACCCUUCGCAAGGCCGGGCGCUGGCCGUCCGAGCCUCCGGUUCGCCGACGCACUUCCUUCCGCGCCACGGACGCCGCAACCGGUCCGGUAGCUGCGAGAGUCGGCCUCGAGGGCGGGAGCCGGCAGGUGGCCGGAGAUUCGACCCCCGCGUCGUCUCCUCCGGUCGUUAGCCUUCCCGCCCGUGGCGCGACACCGGACCGAGGUCGAAGUCUCCCCCCUUCGCGGGGGGAGGCACGCCGUCUCCUGCACUCGUUGCAGCGGCGUGCGGGGCACGCGUCGUCGGCGCUCAAGGGGACUCACUUGUGACAGUGAACUCCUCGCAGAGGGCGCGGCUGGUCCCGUCACGGCCGCGGGGUGUGCGGACUCGGGUUGGCGGCGAGCAAGAUCGGUAACCCACCCGUCCCGUCUUGAAACACGGACCAAGGAGUCUAACACGUGCGCGAGUCACUGGGUCUUGUUCAGGCCCAAGGGCGCAAUGAAAGUGAAAAGUCGCUCUUCGGGGUGAUACGUUGGGAACCCGUCUUUAAAUCGAAGGCGGGCGCACCAACGACCCGCCCGAUCGGCCCCCGCGUCGACGGGCGGAGUCGGAGCGCACGCGUUGGGACCCGAAAGAUGGUGAACUAUGCCUGGGCAGAACGAAGCCAGAGGAAACUCU